CCUACGGGAGGCAGCAGUGAGGAAUAUUGGUCAAUGGGCGCGAGCCUGAACCAGCCAAGUAGCGUGAAGGAUGACUGCCCUACGUAUUGUAAACUUCUUUUAUAAGGGAAUAAAGUGGGGCACGUGUCCCCUUUUGUAUGUACCUUAUGAAUAAGGAUCGGCUAACUCCGUGCCAGCAGCCGCGGUAAUACGGAGGAUCCGAGCGUUAUCCGGAUUUAUUGGGUUUAAAGGGAGCGUAGGCGGGCUGUUAAGUCAGUUGUGAAAGUUUGCGGCUCAACCGUAAAAUUGCAGUUGAUACUGGCAGGCUUGAGUUGAGUAGAGGUAGGCGGAAUGCGUGGUGUAGCGGUGAAAUGCUUAGAUAUCGCGCAGAACUCCGAUUGCGAAGGCAGCUUAC
RNAcentral lists this ribosomal RNA (394 nucleotides) under uncultured bacterium. Its description in RNAcentral is "partial 16S ribosomal RNA". It matches the Rfam family "Bacterial small subunit ribosomal RNA", at positions 338 to 729 of the family's 1533-position model. The record is from RNAcentral.